RNAcentral lists this ribosomal RNA (37 nucleotides) under Mortierella alpina. RNAcentral's name for it is "partial 28S ribosomal RNA". Lineage: Eukaryota; Fungi; Mortierellomycota; Mortierellomycetes; Mortierellales; Mortierellaceae. The record is from RNAcentral.
GAUCUCAAAUCAAGUAAGACUACCCGCUGAACUUAAG